RNAcentral lists this ribosomal RNA (503 nucleotides) under uncultured bacterium. Its description in RNAcentral is "partial 16S ribosomal RNA". It matches the Rfam family "Bacterial small subunit ribosomal RNA", at positions 29 to 508 of the family's 1533-position model. The record is from RNAcentral.
AGCGAACGCUGGCGGCGUGCCUAACACAUGCAAGUCGAACGUGAAAGGGAGCAAUCCCAAGUAAAGUGGCGUACGGGUGAGUAACACGUAGGUAAUCUACCCCAGAAUCUGGAAUAACCGGCCGAAAGGCUGGCUAAUACUGGAUAGAGCGACGGAAUCCGUAAUUGGGUUUUUCGGGAAAGGGAGCCUGUAAAAAGGCCUUCGUUCUGGGAUGAGCCUGCGUCCCAUCAGCUAGUUGGUGAGGUAAAAGCUUACCAAGGCAAUGACGGGUAGCUGGUCUGAGAGGGCGAUCAGCCACACUGGAACUGAAACACGGUCCAGACUCCUACGGGAGGCAGCAGUGGGGAAUCUUGCGCAAUGGACGAAAGUCUGACGCAGCAACGCCGCGUGAGUGAAGAAGGCCUUCGGGUUGUAAAGCUCUGUCGAGUGGGACGAAAAUGCUUGGAGUUCACAGCUCCAGGAACUGACGGUACCACUAAAGGAAGCACCGGCUAACUCCGUGC